ACACCCAGUGCCGGCUCCGGGCGCGCACACAUGCAGCACCUCCGCCCCUGCGCCGGCUCGGCUCUGGCCACAGCAGCGAGGACAGAGGGGCCCCGGGCGCGGCGGACUCGCGGGCGCACGCUCCCAGGAGCGCGCCGAGAGGGGCGCCGCGGCGCAGGAAACUUGGGCGAAGUUAGUUGCAAGUGCCAGGCGGCUGCCGAGAAGAGCGAGGCGGGGACGCGGCCGGUGCCAGGCCUGCGGCGCCGCGUGGAGGCUGCGCUGCCCUCCGCGGCCGGCGAGCUCCGGGAGCCCUAAGUCGGCAGGCGCGCCUGAAGGGGCUCGGAGCGAACAGAGCCGGCAUGGCCCAGGGGACGGCCGGACGCGGCUCCUCGGCGAGCCGGGAGAACUUCCUCUGAGGCCGGGCGACCAACGCUUGCUCAAGCCUCAUCCACCCUCCUUCCUCGCCCCACCCGUCAGUCCAGCAGCGGGAGAGGAAGACUCGAGAGGCAGGUGCUGCGGGGGACAGCUCCCCCCUCCAAAAAAAAAAAAUCACCCAGCCGAUUGGGGGUUUCCCAUCGGCGCACCCUGCCCGGAGCCAAGAAGACAGGCUGGUGCUGCUGUAUUUGUAUUUAUAUCCAUUGCUGCGCUCUGCGUUCUCGUGGCACGCCUGGACACUCCUCCGCCUCCCCCUCCUCUUCCUCCUCCAGGGCCACCUCCCCGCCUUCCCCACCCCCAUCUGCUUCUGUCAAAUGAGAAAGUCACCGAGGAGAACCCAAACACUCCAGCCGCUGAGAGCCCCCUUUGGCACUUGGCAGCACGCGGCGGCGGGCUCCUCGGCUCAACUUCGAGGAGUCUCCGCGACGCAACUUUUGGGGACGCUUUGCAUUUAAGAGAGAACGACCGAGGAGGAGGAGCGCUCUGCCCGGCCGCCGCUACCUGCGGGGAGCUCACCAGCAAACGCCACUGCAGACGAAGGACCCAAAGAACGUAAAGGGCAAACUGCCGCCGCGGGGAGGGGGCACCGCCGAGAAGUUAGAGUGUCCCAGAGACAACCUGCUCGAGCGCUCGGCCGGAGACACUAAGGCGGCCCGGGGCGCGGCGUGGCCCUGGGCUGGUCCCCCAGCCCCCUCCUCCGGGGCGGGAGCGACGCCGGGGCGCGACGAGCCCCGGCCGGCCGAGCGGGUCUCCGCGGGCAGCCAACAUUGAUUUCCUCCGGGCCGAGGGCGAGGGCCCGGGAGGCGGCGGGCUGCAGCCGCGGCAGGGCGAGAGCAUGUCCAAGCCGGUGGACCACGUCAAGCGGCCCAUGAACGCCUUCAUGGUGUGGUCGCGGGCUCAGCGGCGCAAGAUGGCCCAGGAGAACCCCAAGAUGCACAACUCGGAGAUCAGCAAGCGCUUGGGCGCCGAGUGGAAACUGCUCACAGAGUCGGAGAAGCGGCCGUUCAUCGACGAGGCCAAGCGUCUACGCGCCAUGCACAUGAAGGAGCACCCCGACUACAAGUACCGGCCGCGGCGCAAGCCCAAGACGCUGCUCAAGAAGGACAAGUUCGCCUUCCCGGUGCCCUACGGCCUGGGCGGCGUGGCGGACGCCGAGCACCCUGCGCUCAAGGCGGGCGCCGGGCUGCACGCGGGGGCGGGCGGCGGCCUGGUGCCUGAGUCGCUGCUCGCCAAUCCCGAGAAGGCGGCCGCGGCCGCCGCCGCUGCCGCCGCACGCGUCUUCUUCCCGCAGUCGGCCGCUGCCGCCGCCGCUGCCGCCGCCGCCGCCGCCGCGGGCAGCCCCUACUCGCUGCUCGACCUGGGCUCCAAAAUGGCAGAGAUCUCGUCGUCCUCGUCCGGCCUCCCGUACGCGUCGUCGCUGGGCUACCCGACCGCGGGCGCGGGCGCCUUCCACGGCGCGGCGGCGGCGGCUGCAGCGGCGGCCGCCGCCGCCGGGGGGCACACGCACUCGCACCCCAGCCCGGGCAACCCGGGCUACAUGAUCCCGUGCAACUGCAGCGCGUGGCCCAGCCCCGGGCUGCAGCCGCCGCUCGCCUACAUCCUGCUGCCGGGCAUGGGCAAGCCCCAGCUGGACCCCUACCCCGCGGCCUACGCUGCCGCGCUAUGACCCCGCGGGGCCGCCUCGCGAGGACCGGUGUGCACACGUGUACAUAUGUAUAGGUACGAGCGCUGCGGCCUCCCCGUGCGCCCUCCCGCGACCGGGGGCCCGGUUUGUAUGUACAUAGAAUGUAUAGGUGCCAGGUAGAGGCAGAGAGGCCAGGCGGGGCAGGAGUGGCCAAGCGCGCAAGGGCGCGGGCGAGCAGGCCUGUGAAUUCGCAGGAUCAUUUCAGACCCGCACUUCGGCAGCCAACUCGAAAGCAGGCGGUUGUGUGCGGCAGCAGUUGGCGUUUGCUUUGCACUUCGGAACCUGUUGCGUUUUGACCCACGGAGGUGGAGGAGUAACUUUUUGACAUGUUGGCCUUUCCAGUUUUGUUGGAAGUUUCAUGGUCGGUUUUGUUUUUGUUUCUCAUUCUUCUUCCUCGCCCCUCAGCCCCCCAACCCCCAACCCCCUCCCGGUCCGUGUUGCAUGCACGCUGUUCAAAUGUGAGGUCUGAAAUGGCUGGCACACGGGAAAAGCUGCUUGUGUCAUUCGUUUCUGGGAGUGGGAUGGCUCUGAGCAGCCUCGCCUCCCUGUUUGUACUAUUUGAACUUUGCAGAUCUCUGUUCUCUCAAGCAGAACUCCCAACCAGAUCCAUUCUUGACCAGUGACCGGCUCGAAUCUGGCCUUUUGUGUGAGAUGAUCACGGUUUCUUUUGUUUAUCACGCCAUUUGCAAAUCAGAGCAAGAGCUCUUUCUCAAGGGCAAGAAACGCAAACAAGAAAUAUUUGUGAGAUGAAAGUUGUCAAUUGGAUUUUCUUCCUAAACAAACAACAACAACAAACUACUAGAAGUCUCCCUGAGUCCACUCGCUUGGAUUUCUGACACAGUUUACAAAAAAGGAAAAAGGCACUGCUCCUAUUUUCCCUUAUGGCUGAGUUCACCUUAAGAUUGUAAAUGUGUAUAUGUCAGUGAAAACAUUGAGGCUUGGAAAAUGUGUUAUUUUCGUUGCCCUAAGUUUGAGUCGACUUUAGACUCAAAAACAUUUUGAGCGAAUAUCAAAGUUAACUUUUAAAAAUUGCGAAACUAUUUCAGAAUCGCAAUUUUAUCGAAGAUUAAAUCAGACUUUUUUGUCUGGUAAUUAUAUAUUUAUUAUUUAGCAAAACUGAAGAAAAAAAGCACAGAAUUGUUUCAACAGAUGUCUCUCAUUUUCAGCUAGCAUUUCUCUCCCAAGUUGAGCUGGUUUAAUGUGUUUUGGAUUUCCCUCCUCAAUUGGCUUAUUUUUUAGAUCACCUGCAAUUCAUUUGCAAAUUGCAAUAAAACACAUUUUAGAAAAAAGGAACCUUCAAUUAUUAGCUUUGUUUCUUUUUAAAUGUAUAUAUUUUGACUAAUGUUUGUGAAUGAAGUUGGCUAACAUGUAUUUAGUUUCAUUUUGGCUUUAUGUAAUAUAAAGUUUUUAAAAUUUUAAAUAUGGUUUUAACCUUUAUGUGUAAAUGAUUUUCUAGUGUGACCUUCUAAUUUAAUAUUAGACGUCUAAGGUAUAUCUGUAAAUUAGAAUCCGACUAUCACUCUGUUCAUUUUUUUUGAACAAAGAGUUUAAAUAAAGCCUGAACCAGGGAAAAGAAAAAUCUUCUAUUUCUUGUUGAGUUCCUAACAAGAUUUUUAUCUGAAUUGCCCUUACGUGCCUGGUCCAGGUGAAGUGUAAGGUAUCCUCCAAAGGCACCCUUUGUUUCACUUUUGAAUAGAUUUACUAGGAAAUCUAAAUCAAGCCAUUGUUAUUCAGAGCCAAAAACCUGAUUUAUCACAUUUUUAAUCGUGAAUAGGAAAGAAGAUUUUUAAAAAGCCCAAGUCGUUGUAUUAGCUUUAACAACAACAAAAAAAAGGCAUUCAUGAACCAGUAGAACAGAGCCCAUUGAAAACAUCCAGACCUUUCAAAGCAUUUCACCAGUUUCUAGUAACAUUUUAAGAGGGGAAAGUUGCUUGACCACUUUAUCUUGUUAGUUGAAGAGCCCCACCACUUAAAUCAGUGUAAUUUGUUCUCCUAUCUUUGGGGUAUUCCUUGUUGACACCUUAAGGUUUUAUUUGGAAGGAUAAUCACUACUAACGACAAAGUACAAAUUUUGGCCUCUUUAGGACUUAAUUUUGUUAUGCUAAUCGCAUUAAAGUAGAAGUAUAACAUUCAAAUGGAGAGGGUUGGAUUUCUAGGGCUAGACAAAUUGCUACUAAAGUUUGAAAAAUCAUAAAGGAUUUUAAUUUUAGACAAGAAAUAGAAGACUGUCAGAAAAAAAAAAAUAGGAAGAUCUCGCCCCCCCGCAACCAAAAUGGAAAUUCUCAAGAUACUAUAUACAAGUCUUAAACCAGUUUCCCCAUUGAGACCAUCUCUGGAGCUGCACGUCUUUAUAAACGACCCAAGUCUUUAAAGUCAUUGUUUUCCCCCAACGGAAUAAUAUUUUAAAAACCAUGAAAAGUUUUGGAAAUGUGAGAAAUAGGCUCUGCUGGUUUGACCCUGAUUCACUAAUUAAAAUGAUCCCUCUCCUGUUAUUCCCUGAGCUCUUUGCAAUAUUAUAAGUUAAUUCAUAUGGUUCUGAGCGAUUAUGCAAAACUAAUUUGGACUGUCCAGGGGUAAUUAUCCCUGACACGGUUAAUUAAAUCCUUUCAAGGCUUCGUCUUUCCCUUUUGUAGCAGCCCAUCCCUUCUCAACACGGAACUUCCUGCGGCUCGCUGGAAAUCACCCCAGCCCUAAAUCUUAGUUACCACCCUGAGCCUUCCAGCUCGGCCGCCUCCUCGGCCUGAAGACUCCCCGCCUCCUCCCGCCCCCUCCCCUUUUCCCAAAGAUCAGCGUUUUCUGGGAGAAACGCUCCGGAGUUGUUGAUGAAUGAGAAGAGGACUGGAAAGAUGGCUCUUGUUCUAAGGGAAGCAAGCUGCUCCAUGGAAAGACCCACAGGGCAAGAGCUGAUGUAUCUGGCCAAAGGACAGCAAAGACUUGAGGCCUGUCAGCAGCUAAGUGAAAAAGUCACCCGAUCAAACCUUGAGAUGACUACAGCCCCAGGUGGCACCUUGAUUGCAGCUUUGGAAGAGACCCUGAGCUAGAGGAUACUCAACAGCAAGGCCCCCUGGAUUCAAAACCCACUGAAACCAUAAGAUAAUCUGUUUUUGUUGUUUUAAGCCAUUAAGUUUUGGAGUGACUUGUGACACAGCAAGAGGUAGUGAAUAUACUGUGUGAUGUAGUCAAGGACAUAGCUCCAGAAAAAUCUCUCCCCUUUCUCUUGCAACAUCAAACCAAAUAGCCUGUAGUCCCAAUUAUUUGGGAGGCUGAGAAAGGAGGAUCACUUGAGCCCAGGAGUUCUGGGCUGUAGUGCACUAUGCCCAUUGGAUGCCUGCAAUAAGUUCAGCAUCAAUAUGUUGACCUCCUGGUAGAUAGGGACCACCAGGUUGCCUAAGGAGGGGUGAACUGGCACAGGUUGGAAAUGGAGCAAGUCAAAACUCCUGCACUGAUGAGUAGUACGAUUGCACCUGUAAAUAGCCAAAGCAAUGUAGCCUGGACAACAUAGCAAGACCCCAUCUCUUUAAAAAAAGAAAGAAAAGAGAAAGAAAGAAACCAAACUUUUUCUUCCCUACUGAAUCAUUUUUGCAGCAUAAAAUAUUUGUUAUUUCCUCUUUUUUAAAAAACCUCUUGGUCAAGAGUGGUGGCUCAUGCUUGUAAUCCCAGCACCUUGGGAGGCCAAGGUGGGAGGAUUGCUGCAGCCCGGGAGUUCAAGACCAGUCUAGGCAGCAUAGAAAGACUUCAUCUCUACAAAAAAUAGAAAAUUAGUUGGGUGUUGGUGGUGUAUGCCGGUAGUCCUAGCUACAUGGGAGGCUGAGGCAGUGAGGCAGGAGGAUGGUUUGGGUCCAGAAGGUUGAGGCUGCAGUGAGCCAAGAUCCCUGCCACUGCACUCCAAGGGGAUAACAGAGUGAGACGCUAUCCCAAAACAAACAAACAAAAACCAAACCAGAACAAAAAACUCCCAGGACCUCAUUUUUUCUCUUCUCUGUUCCCUUUUACAAUGAAUUCCUUAAAAAGAAAACAUGUCUAUAUUCCCUAUUUCCCUGUUUUCUCUUUUCUCUUGAAAUCCCUCCAGUUAGAGUUUGCCUUCCCUCCCCAACUCCACUUCACCAAAACUUGCUCUGAUCGACUCCCCUGUUGCUAAAUCGAAUGGUCAGUUCUCAUCUAACUUGAUCCAUCAGCAGCAUUUGACAGAGUUGAUCAUGCUCUCCCCAGGAAAUUUUACUUGGUUUUGAGAGCUCCACCCUCAGUCUUUCUACUGCCUCAUUGGAUGCUCUUUGCUGUUCUCCUUUCCUGGUUCCACUCCUCUCCAACCUUUUAUUGAGUUUUAUCAAGAAAGAUAGGAAUUCAACUGGGUGUGGUGGCUCAUGCCUAUAAUCCCAGCAUUUUGGGAGGCCAAGGCAGGAGGAUCACUUGAGCCCAGGAGUUUGAGAACAGCCUAGGCAACAUACGGAGACCCUGUCUCUACAGAAUAAAAGAGGAGGAGGAGAAAGAAAGAUAGGAAUUCAUUUAAUAGUCUCCUAUCUUCAAGCAAGCUGCAAUUGUCUUUGAUAUUAUUUAACAGUUUCAGUUGAAGCCAAUAUGCUGUCAAUCACAUAUCAUUGUAACUAGCAAUAUUUAUUUGUCACUAUGAGCAAGGGUAAGCUGCAAAAACACAUAAGCCCCAAAUUUCAAUGACUUAAUAUAAAAAGUUUAUUUUUUACUCCAGCAGGGGCUGUGCUCCUCCCGGCUGGUGGAGAUUCCAUCUUAAUACAUGCUUCUCUGACCACCUGAGCAGGGGAAUACAGCCUAACAGUCAUAUGCUAGCUCUUAAAAUUUCUCACCAAAAGCAAUACUCAUCACUUCUGCUCACAUUUCGUUGGCCAAAGUGUGUCUUAUGGCCACAUCAAAUCUCAAAGGGGGCACAGAAUGAUAAUCCUACCACAUACCGAGAAGGCGGAGAGCCAGAACUAUUUGGUGAACUGCACUACUGACCACCUUCAUAGAUAAACAUCCACUGAUAAACACCCUCAGUCAAAACAAAAACAAAAACAAAAACAAACAAACAAACAUUACAGCCAGGCUUGGUGGCUCACACCUGUAAUCCCAGUACUUUGGGAGGCCAAGGUGGGAGGAUUGCUUGAGCCCAGGAGUUUGAGGCUGCAAUAAGCUAAAAAUUUAUCUUCUCUCUGAAUUCAGCAGUCCCAUUGCUGCUAAGGAGUUCUGGAAGGUUCAUAACAACACCAUAGGACUUGAAACUGUCCUUCUGUAGGGCAUUAAAGAGUUUCUUGUUGUCUGUGCUUGUACUAAAGAAGAAGGAGAAGGAGGAGAGACUGAUAAACUGUAGCCCUAGCUUUUCCUUCCAUCUUUCCAAUCUUAUAUCCACUCUCCCCACACACAUACAUGCAUUCAUCCUUAUAUACACAUCACACUAAAUGAGUCCCUUUCUGGAACUUGGGUUGUAAUUCUCCUACCUGUGUCCCCCACGCCCAUUCCCAAAGUGAUAUACAUCUUUCAAAGUUCUGCCCAAGUCUCACAUUCUCCAUAACUUAUUUUUUUAGAGAUGGGAUCUUGCUACAUUGCCCAGGCUGGACUCACAUUCCUGGCCAGAAGGUGAUCCUCCUGCCUCAGCCUCCUGAAUAGCUGGGACUACAGCUUCAAACUAUUUUGCCUGGCUACCCCAUCAACUUUUGAUGCCAUUUAGGGUUUUUCUUGUCCUUCUAUUUUUUAAAUUAUAUUUUGUUGUUGUUUUUGUUCUAUUAAGCACCUAUUAGCUUAACUGGAUUUAGUGAUUCUGUAUAUGUGUCAUUAUCAGCACAAUUGUGUGAAAAGCAGAGGUGUCUUAUUUGCCUUUGUAUAUCAGUAUAGCACCUUCCCCUUUCCUCAGUGCCUAGUUCAGACUCUGACUCUCAAUAACUAUUUGUAAUAAUUUAUUCUGUCUGUGUUAGUGUAUUUUCUGGUAACUUCUGGACUUACAGACAAUUGGAAACACUUCUAACUUUAAUCAUUCCAAGCUGUCUCUUCUCUUCUGACCUUACUACACACUCACUAGGCACUUUUCAGUCAACUCGAAUCUAAAUGCAAGAUCUAUUCAAAGAAGCCUAAAUCUUAGCAUUCAAAUACUCGAUUAAGUCGUAAGUCCUCUGGGCUCAUGUCUUGUCUUUCUUGUCCAUAUCUUGUUGGGCAUAUAAGGAGGUAAAGGAAGGAGAUCAUUGAAAACACAAUACAAGAGGAACCUGUAUUAGUUGGGAUAAUUAUUGUAAGCUACGAUGACAAAUUACCCCACAUCUCAGUGACUUGACACAUUAAAAGUUUAUUUUUCAUGCAUGCCACAGUCUAAGGCAAGACAUGUGGUUCCCCUCUAAGCAGUGAGUCAGGAUCUAGACUUGUUUUGUUGCUAGGCCACCACCUAGGGUUUUCUGGAUCUGAUUGACAGGCAGUGAUAGCCCAUGGCUCUUGCAGGGCAUUUUAUGCUAAGCCUGGGAAUGGUAGGCUUUACUCCAGCCCAUAUUCCUAUGGACAAUACACCAACCUAAUUGCAAUGAAUGCUGGGAAAUAUAAUUUACUUGUGUGCCAAGAAAAAGAAAAGAAUAUUGGUGAACAUCUCACCUGCUUCUUUUAAAGCCUAGAAAAUCAUUUAUUCACUUUACAAUAUAAAGACACUGCUCCAACACUUUGGUGAACAGAUAGAUUCAAAUCUAUAAAAAGGGUGCAUGGGGAAUUCCUCCAUGUCAACAAUUAAUUCUUGCUCUCCUCUAUUUUUCAUAAAACCCAGAAUUCACUCACUCUUGCCCCCAAAAUCAAGAGCUAGGUAGGGAGCCUCUCCCGUCAGAUAUUUUUUCCUUUUUCCCUAGACUCACAUUACAAAAAACACACUACAACUGUUUUUUUUCCCAGCUCUGCAAAGCAUCAGAAUCAAUGUGAGAUUUUUAACCAUCAUAGACACUCAAGGCUCUCUCAAGGCCUACUGAAUUCAAAUUUUCUAAGACUAGCACUCAGGCACCUAUAUUUCUAAAAUAUUCCCCUGAUGAUUCUGGUACACACCCAGGAUUGACAACCAUUGUUCAGACCUGAGAAAGGAGUGUCCAGUAAGCCCCACAGUCAGAUAAUUUCAAUGUUUUCAUGCUGUAGUAAACUUUCAUGUUUAUUUGUCUUGGCAAAUGCAUUAGUCCAUUUUCACGCUGCUGAUCAAGACAUAGCCAAGACUGCGUAUUUUAUAAAGAAAAAAUUGGUUUAAUGGACUCACAGUUCCGUGUGGCUGGGGAGGCCUCACAAUCAUGAUGGAAGGCGAAAGGCAUGUCUUACAUGGUGGCAGGCAAAGAGCAAAUGAGAUCCAAGCAAAAGGGGUUUCUCCUUAUAAAACCAUCAGCUCUCAUGAGACUUCACUACCACAAGACCAGUAUGGGGAAAACCGCCC
Molecule: long non-coding RNA, 9488 nt
Filed under: Homo sapiens (human)
Lineage: Eukaryota; Metazoa; Chordata; Mammalia; Primates; Hominidae
Description: non-protein coding LINC00391:2
Rfam family: Metazoan signal recognition particle RNA (bases 5336-5616)
Source: RNAcentral